Molecule: non-coding RNA, 334 nt
Organism: Pelobates cultripes (western spadefoot toad)
Lineage: Eukaryota; Metazoa; Chordata; Amphibia; Anura; Pelobatidae
Source: the annotation of a GenBank genome assembly
CAGGUGUAAUGGGCGGAGCUUAUAACAAUGACUGACAGGGAGCUAAGAUGGAGGCGGCCCUCUCUAUACUGACUGCCAGGUGUAAAGGGCGGAGCUUAUAACAAUGAUUGACAGGGAGCUAAGAUGGAGGCGGCCCUCUCUAUACUGACAGCCAGGUGUAAAGGGUGGAGCUUAUAACAAUGAUUGACAGGGAGCUAAGAUGGAGGCGGCUCUCUCUAUACUGACUGCCAGGUGUAAAGGGCGGAGCUUAUAACAAUGACUGACAGGGAGCUAAGAUGGAGGCGGCUCUCUCUAUACUGACUGCCAGGUGUAAAGGGCGGAGCUUAUAACAAUG